RNAcentral lists this transfer RNA (66 nucleotides) under Leptoxis ampla. RNAcentral describes it as "tRNA-Ser". Lineage: Eukaryota; Metazoa; Mollusca; Gastropoda; Pleuroceridae. The record is from RNAcentral.
AAGCUGUUUACCCUGGGGGGUUUUUGCCUUGAAAGCAAAGCAGUAGUGUUCAAAUCACUAAAUAGC